GACGAACGCUGGCGGCGCGCCUAACACAUGCAAGUCGAACGAGCGAGAGAGAGCUUGCUUUUCUCGAGCGAGUGGCGAACGGGUGAGUAACGCGUGAGGAACCUGCCUCAAAGAGGGGGACAACAGUUGGAAACGACUGCUAAUACCGCAUAAGCCCACGGUGCCGCAUGGCACAGAGGGAAAAGGAGUAAUCCGCUUUGAGAUGGCCUCGCGUCCGAUUAGCUAGUUGGUGAGGUAACGGCCCACCAAGGCGACGAUCGGUAGCCGGACUGAGAGGUUGAACGGCCACAUUGGGACUGAGACACGGCCCAGACUCCUACGGGAGGCAGCAGUGGGGAAUAUUGCACAAUGGGGGAAACCCUGAUGCAGCGACGCCGCGUGGAGGAAGAAGGUCUUCGGAUUGUAAACUCCUGUUGUUGGGGAAGAUAAUGACGGUACCCAACAAGGAAGUGACGGCUAACUACGUGCCAGCAGCCGCGGUAAAACGUAGGUCACAAGCGUUGUCCGGAAUUACUGGGUGUAAAGGGAGCGCAGGCGGGAAGACAAGUUGGAAGUGAAAUCUAUGGGCUCAACCCAUAAACUGCUUUCAAAACUGUUUUUCUUGAGUAGUGCAGAGGUAGGCGGAAUUCCCGGUGUAGCGGUGGAAUGCGUAGAUAUCGGGAGGAACACCAGUGGCGAAGGCGGCCUACUGGGCACCAACUGACGCUGAGGCUCGAAAGUGUGGGUAGCAAACAGGAUUAGAUACCCUGGUAGUCCACACCGUAAACGAUGAUUACUAGGUGUUGGAGGAUUGACCCCUUCAGUGCCGCAGUUAACACAAUAAGUAAUCCACCUGGGGAGUACGACCGCAAGGUUGAAACUCAAAGGAAUUGACGGGGGCCCGCACAAGCAGUGGAGUAUGUGGUUUAAUUCGACGCAACGCGAAGAACCUUACCAAGUCUUGACAUCCCUUGACAGACAUAGAAAUAUGUAAUCUCUUCGGAGCAAGGAGACAGGUGGUGCAUGGUUGUCGUCAGCUCGUGUCGUGAGAUGUUGGGUUAAGUCCCGCAACGAGCGCAACCCUUAUGGUCAGUUACUACGCAAGAGGACUCUGGCCAGACUGCCGUUGACAAAACGGAGGAAGGUGGGGAUGACGUCAAAUCAUCAUGCCCUUUAUGACUUGGGCUACACACGUACUACAAUGGCGUUAAACAAAGAGAAGCAAGACCGCGAGGUGGAGCAAAACUCAGAAACAACGUCCCAGUUCGGACUGCAGGCUGCAACUCGCCUGCACGAAGUCGGAAUUGCUAGUAAUCGUGGAUCAGCAUGCCACGGUGAAUACGUUCCCGGGCCUU
RNAcentral lists this ribosomal RNA (1334 nucleotides) under uncultured bacterium. RNAcentral's name for it is "bacterial SSU rRNA". It matches the Rfam family "Bacterial small subunit ribosomal RNA", at positions 28 to 1382 of the family's 1533-position model. The record is from RNAcentral.